This 460-nucleotide ribosomal RNA is filed under the name uncultured bacterium. Its description in RNAcentral is "partial 16S ribosomal RNA". It matches the Rfam family "Bacterial small subunit ribosomal RNA", at positions 338 to 795 of the family's 1533-position model. The record is from RNAcentral.
CCUACGGGUGACUGCAGUGAGGAAUAUUGGUCAAUGGGCGAGAGCCUGAACCAGCCAAGUCGCGUGAGGGAAGACGGUCCUACGGAUUGUAAACCUCUUUUGUCAGGGAGCAAGCCGCGCCACGUGUGGUUCUUCGCGUGUACCUUAUGAAUAAGCAUCGGCUAACUCCGUGCCAGCAGCCGCGGUAAUACGGAGGAUUCGAGCGUUAUUCGGAUUUAUUGGGUUUAAAGGGUGCGCAGGCGGAAGCGGCAAGUCAGCGGUAAAAUUGCGGGGCUAAACCUCGACGAGCCGUUGAUACUGGUAGUCGAGAGUGGGCGUGAGGUAGGCGGAAUUCGUGGUGUAGCGGUGAAAUGCAUAGAUAUCACGCAGAACUCCGAUUGCGAAGGCAGCAUACCAGAGCGCAACUGACGCUGAUGCACGAAAGCGUGGGUAUCGAACAGGAUUAGAUACCCGGGUAGUC